CAGCCGCCGCGGUAAAACGUAGGGUGCAAGCGUUAAUCGGAAUUACUGGGCGUAAAGCGUGCGCAGGCGGUUAUAUAAGACAGAUGUGAAAUCCCCGGGCUCAACCUGGGAACUGCAUUUGUGACUGUAUAGCUAGAGUACGGCAGAGGGGGAUGGAAUUCCGCGUGUAGCAGUGAAAUGCGUAGAUAUGCGGAGGAACACCGAUGGCGAAGGCAAUCCCCUGGGCCUGUACUGACGCUCAUGCACGAAAGCGUGGGGAGCAAACAGGAUUAGAGACCCGGGUAGUCCCUGUCUCUUAUAC
RNAcentral lists this ribosomal RNA (301 nucleotides) under uncultured bacterium. RNAcentral describes it as "partial 16S ribosomal RNA". It matches the Rfam family "Bacterial small subunit ribosomal RNA", at positions 509 to 807 of the family's 1533-position model. The record is from RNAcentral.